RNAcentral lists this ribosomal RNA (316 nucleotides) under uncultured eukaryote. Its description in RNAcentral is "partial 18S ribosomal RNA". It matches the Rfam family "Eukaryotic small subunit ribosomal RNA", at positions 1469 to 1796 of the family's 1831-position model. The record is from RNAcentral.
CCCCUUAGACGUUCUGGGCCGCACGCGCGCUACACUGACCAGUGCAACAAGCAUCCGUCCUUGGCCGACAGGCUCGGGCAAUCUUUGAACGCUGGUCGUGAUGGGGAUAGACUUUUGCAAUUUUUGGUCUUCAACGAGGAAUUCCUAGUAAACGCAAGUCAUCAACUUGCAUUGAUUACGUCCCUGCCCUUUGUACACACCGCCCGUCGCACCUACCGAUUGAAUGGUCCGGUGAAGCCUCCGGAUUGGCGCGCACCUCGGUGCCGCCGAGAAGUUGGCUAAACCUUACCAUUUAGAGGAAGGUGAAGUCGUAACA